This is an unclassified non-coding RNA of Cricetulus griseus (Chinese hamster), 295 nucleotides long. It matches the Rfam family "Metazoan signal recognition particle RNA". Rfam says of the family: The signal recognition particle (SRP) is a universally conserved ribonucleoprotein. It is involved in the co-translational targeting of proteins to membranes. NCBI's taxonomy places the organism in Eukaryota, Metazoa, Chordata, Mammalia, Rodentia, Cricetidae. The record is from Ensembl.
GCCAGGCACAGUGGCACAUGCCUGUAGUCUCAGCUACUUGGGAGGCUGAGACAGGAGGAUCACUUGAGUCCAGGAGUUCUGGGCUGUAGUGCGCUAUGCCAAUUGGGUGUCUGCACUAAAUUCGGCAUCAAUAUGGUGACCUCCAGAGAGUGGGUGGCCACCAGGUUGCCUAAGGAGGAGGAAUUCUAUACCAUGCAUUGUCUGCUAAAUUUCCUCAUGUAUGAUGCUACAGAAAAAUCAGCUGCAGAUCGCCUCUGGCUUCCAUCAAUGGCUCAAAAUUAUGCUCAAGCCUUAU